UUAAGUUCAGCGGGUAGUCCUACCUGAUUCGAGGCCAAAUGAGAUGAAAAUUGUCCUUGCGAGGGACGGUUAGAAGCCGUUUGAUCCCCGGUCCAGCGCCUCGCGGCAUCGACGUAGAUGUGAUUAUCACGCCGAAAACUGAAGUCGGGAGAGUCAGCUAAUGCAUUUGAGACGAGCCGAGCGUCAGCCCAGCAACGUCC
Molecule: unclassified non-coding RNA, 200 nt
Filed under: Tremellodendropsidales sp.
Lineage: Eukaryota; Fungi; Basidiomycota; Agaricomycetes; Tremellodendropsidales
Description: partial internal transcribed spacer 2
Source: RNAcentral